GAGUAAUGUCUGGGAAACUGCCUGAUGGAGGGGGAUAACUACUGGAAACGGUAGCUAAUACCGCAUAACGUCGCAAGACCAAAGAGGGGGACCUUCGGGCCUCUUGCCAUCGGAUGUGCCCAGAUGGGAUUAGCUUGUUGGUGGGGUAACGGCUCACCAAGGCGACGAUCCCUAGCUGGUCUGAGAGGAUGACCAGCCACACUGGAACUGAGACACGGUCCAGACUCCUACGGGAGGCAGCAGUGGGGAAUAUUGCACAAUGGGCGCAAGCCUGAUGCAGCCAUGCCGCGUGUAUGAAGAAGGCCUUCGGGUUGUAAAGUACUUUCAGCGGGGAGGAAGGGAGUAAAGUUAAUACCUUUGCUCAUUGACGUUACCCGCAGAAGAAGCACCGGCUAACUCCGUGCCAGCAGCCGCGGUAAUACGGAGGGUGCAAGCGUUAAUCGGAAUUACUGGGCGUAAAGCGCACGCAGGCGGUUUGUUAAGUCAGAUGUGAAAUCCCCGGGCUCAACCUGGGAACUGCAUCUGAUACUGGCAAGCUUGAGUCUCGUAGAGGGGGGUAGAAUUCCAGGUGUAGCGGUGAAAUGCGUAGAGAUCUGGAGGAAUACCGGUGGCGAAGGCGGCCCCCUGGACGAAGACUGACGCUCAGGUGCGAAAGCGUGGGGAGCAAACAGGAUUAGAUACCCUGGUAGUCCACGCCGUAAACGAUGUCGACUUGGAGGUUGUGCCCUUGAGGCGUGGCUUCCGGAGCUAACGCGUUAAGUCGACCGCCUGGGGAGUACGGCCGCAAGGUUAAAACUCAAAUGAAUUGACGGGGGCCCGCACAAGCGGUGGAGCAUGUGGUUUAAUUCGAUGCAACGCGAAGAACCUUACCUGGUCUUGACAUCCACGGAAGUUUUCAGAGAUGAGAAUGUGCCUUCGGGAACCGUGAGACAGGUGCUGCAUGGCUGUCGUCAGCUCGUGUUGUGAAAUGUUGGGUUAAGUCCCGCAACGAGCGCAACCCUUAUCCUUUGUUGCCAGCGGUCCGGCCGGGAACUCAAAGGAGACUGCCAGUGAUAAACUGGAGGAAGGUGGGGAUGACGUCAAGUCAUCAUGGCCCUUACGACCAGGGCUACACACGUGCUACAAUGGCGCAUACAAAGAGAAGCGACCUCGCGAGAGCAAGCGGACCUCAUAAAGUGCGUCGUAGUCCGGAUUGGAGUCUGCAACUCGACUCCAUGAAGUCGGAAUCGCUAGUAAUCGUGGAUCAGAAUGCCACGGUGAAUACGUUCCCGGGCCUUGUACACACCGCCCGUCACACCAUGGGAGUGGGUUGCAAAAGAAGUAGGUAGCUUAACCUUCGGGAGGGCGCUUACCACUUUGUGAUUCAUGACUGGGGUGAAGUCGUAACAAGGUAACCGUAGGGGAACCUGCGGUUGGAUCACCUCCUU
RNAcentral lists this ribosomal RNA (1427 nucleotides) under Escherichia coli. Its description in RNAcentral is "bacterial SSU rRNA". It matches the Rfam family "Bacterial small subunit ribosomal RNA". Lineage: Bacteria; Pseudomonadati; Pseudomonadota; Gammaproteobacteria; Enterobacterales; Enterobacteriaceae. RNAcentral also lists the same sequence under 1 other name. The record is from RNAcentral.